RNAcentral lists this unclassified non-coding RNA (249 nucleotides) under plant metagenome. RNAcentral's name for it is "partial contains small subunit ribosomal RNA, internal transcribed spacer 1, and 5.8S ribosomal RNA". The stretch from base 201 to 249 matches the Rfam family "5.8S ribosomal RNA", at positions 1 to 49 of the family's 154-position model. The record is from RNAcentral.
GCUCCGUAGGUGAACCUGCGGAGGGAUCAUUACAGAGUUCAUGCCCUACCGGGUAGAUCUCCCACCCUAUGUUAUUAUUACUUUGUUGCUUUGGCGGGCCGUUAGGCUCCGGCCCGACUACCGGCCCCGGCUGGUAAGCGCCCGCCAGAGGACCCAAAACCCUGAAUAUUAGUGUCGUCUGAGUACUAUAUAAUAGUUAAAACUUUCAACAACGGAUCUCUUGGUUCUGGGAUCGAUGAAGAACGCAGC